CACGAAAGCGUGGGGAGCAAACAGGAUUAGAUACCCUGGUAGUCCACGCCGUAAACGAUGAGUACUAAGUGUUGGGUUAAACCAGUGCUGAAGUUAACACAUUAAGUACUCCGCCUGAGUAGUACGUACGCAAGUAUGAAACUUAAAGGAAUUGACGGGACUCCGCACAAGCGGUGGAUCAUGUUGUUUAAUUCGAAGAUACACGAAAAACCUUACCAGGUCUUGACAUACUCUGCAAAGCUAUAGAAAUAUAGUGGAGGUUAUCAGGGAUACAGGUGGUGCAUGGUUGUCGUCAGCUCGUGUCGUGAGAUGUUGGGUUAAGUCCCGCAACGAGCGCAACCCUUAUCACUAGUUACCAUCAUUUAGUUGGGCACUUUAGUGAGACUGCCAAUGAUAAAUUGGAGGAAGGUGGGGAUUACGUCAAAUCAUCAUGCCCCUUAUGACCUGGGCUACAAACGUGAUACAAUGGCUGUUACAAG
Molecule: ribosomal RNA, 479 nt
Filed under: 'Phoenix dactylifera' aster yellows phytoplasma
Lineage: Bacteria; Bacillati; Mycoplasmatota; Mollicutes; Acholeplasmatales; Acholeplasmataceae
Description: bacterial SSU rRNA
Rfam family: Bacterial small subunit ribosomal RNA
Source: RNAcentral